AGUGUGGAGAGGGAGAGAGGAGAGGGAAGCAAGUAAAAGGGCUGUUGAAGAAGGAGCGCUGGAAGAGUGUGGGCGAAUGACUCGAGAACGUGAAGCCUAUAUAUACGUAAUGACAGAUAAUUCCCUACCGAGACGAGAAGGUUGAGCUCAUAGUGAAGAAUAAUCACAUCAGCAGUUACAGUUGCAACAGUAGACACAUCUGGUUCUUGAACAGAAUCUGGACAGAAUCAUAUGUUCUCAGUGUCGCCACCAGUUCUGCAGUAGCUGCUACAACACCUUCCACCCAAGAAAUUUGUGGAACAAAAUUAAUUCACUGAUGUCAUCACAGCAUUAACUCAUAUGUUAUAUUUCAAGAAAUGUACAGUCCCUUCCUGUACAGUAAGGACGUCUCUCCAUGCUCACCAUCCUAGAGAUUGUCUAUUUUACCUACGAGAUUGGGAUGUGACACGUCUGCAGAGACUGCU
This is a long non-coding RNA of Xenopus laevis (African clawed frog), 464 nucleotides long. RefSeq lists it as uncharacterized. The record is from RefSeq and is a predicted model, not a curated record. Lineage: Eukaryota; Metazoa; Chordata; Amphibia; Anura; Pipidae. The transcript has 3 exons.